CGGGGAAUAUUGGGCAAUGGGCGAAAGCCUGACCCAGCAAUGCCGUGUGGGCGAUGAAGUCCUUCGGGAUGUAAAGCCCUUUUAUGAGGGAAGAAAGAUAUGCAGGCUAAUACCUCGCAUGUUUGACGGUACUUCAUGAAUAAGCCCCGGCUAACUCCGUGCCAGCAGCCGCGGUAAUACGGAGGGGGCAAGCGUUGUUCGGAAUCACUGGGCGUAAAGGGCGCGUAGGCGGUUAUGCUAGUCAGGUGUGAAAUCCCCAGGCUUAACUUGGGAACUGCGCUUGAAACUGCAUAGCUUGAGGCCGGGGGAGGAAAGUGGAAUUCCUGGUGUAGCGGUGAAAUGCGUAGAUAUCAGGAGGAACACCGGUGGCGAAGGCGGCUUUCUGGACCGGUUCUGACGCGGAAGCGCGAAAGCGUGGGGAGCAAACGG
RNAcentral lists this ribosomal RNA (429 nucleotides) under uncultured bacterium. RNAcentral's name for it is "bacterial SSU rRNA". It matches the Rfam family "Bacterial small subunit ribosomal RNA", at positions 355 to 775 of the family's 1533-position model. The record is from RNAcentral.